This 459-nucleotide long non-coding RNA is filed under the name Coturnix japonica (Japanese quail). RNAcentral's name for it is "lncRNA (ENSCJPG00005003632.1)". The record is from RNAcentral. Lineage: Eukaryota; Metazoa; Chordata; Aves; Galliformes; Phasianidae.
AUGUUCUGCAACUGUGUGGUACAGCAUUUGUGCGAGCAUCUUCACCCAUGUACACUCAUGGCCAGGGCAGCCACUAAGGGGCAGCUGCACACAGUGGAUUUCAGGAACCUUCCAUUACACACAGUUGUCAGUGCAUCCUGCUUUGAAGUGCCAGCAGGUACCUGGAAAGGAAAAAAAAACAACCAAAACCAAACAUGUAGGAAAGACAAAAAGCAAAAGAAAGGCAUCGUCUCUUGCAGGGUGGCUCCAUGUCAAAGCACUGCAGCACUGUCCAGCCAUAGGAACAGAGGAUGGGAACUGGCAACAGUGAGGUUCAAGAACCCCGUAUCAACUACAGCUCCAGCUCUAACAGGCUUUGGAGAAAGAAAGCCUUUCAUCAGGGUAUAUUUGACACAGAAGACUGGAUUUACUGUGUUUACAUCCCUCCAGGCUGUUCACCAAUGUGUUAAAUUCAACUGA